UGUUAUAGCUCAGUUGGUAGAGCACAUCCUUGGUAAGGAUGAGGUCACCGGUUCAAAUCCGGUUAAC
This 67-nucleotide transfer RNA is filed under the name uncultured Ruminococcus sp. It matches the Rfam family "tRNA". From Rfam's summary of the family: Transfer RNA (tRNA) molecules are approximately 80 nucleotides in length. Their secondary structure includes four short double-helical elements and three loops (D, anti-codon, and T loops). Further hydrogen bonds mediate the characteristic L-shaped molecular structure. tRNAs have two regions of fundamental functional importance: the anti-codon, which is responsible for specific mRNA codon recognition, and the 3' end, to which the tRNAs corresponding amino acid is attached (by aminoacyl-tRNA synthetases). tRNAs cope with the degeneracy of the genetic code in two manners: having more than one tRNA (with a specific anti-codon) for a particular amino acid; and 'wobble' base-pairing, i.e. permitting non-standard base-pairing at the 3rd anti-codon position. The record is from RNAcentral. Lineage: Bacteria; Bacillati; Bacillota; Clostridia; Eubacteriales; Oscillospiraceae.